This is a long non-coding RNA of Capra hircus (goat), 615 nucleotides long. RefSeq lists it as uncharacterized. The record is from RefSeq and is a predicted model, not a curated record. NCBI's taxonomy places the organism in Eukaryota, Metazoa, Chordata, Mammalia, Artiodactyla, Bovidae. The transcript is spliced from 2 exons.
UAAAAUGAUCUGGUCAGCUGAGGAGUCACCCAGGCCCAAGAUGAGAGGACAGCUUCUAGUAGGCCACGACUGAAACUGGAAAACAAAGCGAACCAAAGACCUGGGACUCCUUCAUCCACCUAGGUCUCCUUCAUCCACCUAGGUCAGCUCCAGAGCAAGGAAAGAACGACCAGAAGAAUUCUUCUCUAACAACCACAUGCACCUUUUAAGAUGCUGCAGAACUGCACCCGGAAAAGAAGAUUUCACGGGAAAGGACCGCAAACUCAGUUCCUCUUCCAUUUUGUUGAAGAUCAGCACGUUACAAUUGUUCAGAAGCAAAAUUUCAUAAGCUUGGCUGUGGAAUAGUUGUGAUGCAAAAACAAUCACAAAAGGCUUAGCCUUGCUGCUUUAUUGACACAGCCUUCCUGUCCCCACAUCUUGCUUCCUGUCAGGAAAGUGGGACGUGUUGGAUGAUUUCCCAGCUUCUCUUUGGAGAGGAAGUCUACAGGUUUUCCACCAACCAGCCCCCGCCAAUCUGCGCUCCCCGGGAACACCUGCAGCUAAAGGCUAUGCCCAUUCUCUUUUGUGCGCUUACAGCUAUCAAAAUAAAUGAGCCAUCUUGGCUGGGAAAUCACA